AUAGUAAAUUGGCUCAAACACAGCCCUACUGAAAUGGAGGGUUACAUUUGCCCCGGUUGCCUUGUACUAUCCAUGUACCUAUUAAUGCCGGGUAUUGCAUGGGAUGAGCUUGAAGAAAAUCUCCUCCAGAGAGUAAACUCAUUAUUUCAAAGUUCUGAUUUGGAUUUCUGGAGAAAAGGAAGGUUUUUAGUUCGAACCAACUCCCAGUUGGUAUCAUAUAAAGCAGGAAUGACCCGUUUAUCAAAAUUGUGGAGAACAUGGAAUACCCCUGAAUUGACCCUUGUGUCACCAAUUGCUGUUGUUGGUGGGCAGAAGACCUCCCUCAUUCUUAAAGGCCACAAUCUAUCUAUUCCUGGCACACAGAUCCACUGUACAAGCAUAGGGAAGUACAUAUCCAAAGAAGUUUUGUGCUCAGCAUAUCCAGGUACCAUAUAUGAUGAUUCAGGUGUUGAGACAUUUGACUUGCCAAGAAAACCAGAUCUUAUUAUUGGGCGCUGCUUUGUUGAGGUAGAAAACAGGUUCAGGGGUAACAGAUUCCCUGUUAUCGGUGGACUAUGUACACUAUGUUUUUUUGAAGAGAUAAUAGAGAGGUCACAUAGUUCUAUACAAAGCGGUUAA
Zea mays is the source of this 618-nucleotide RNA transcript. It is a transcript of the gene named squamosa binding protein pseudogene, with no coding region annotated. Lineage: Eukaryota; Viridiplantae; Streptophyta; Magnoliopsida; Poales; Poaceae. The transcript is spliced from 6 exons. The record is from RefSeq and is marked validated.